Musa acuminata AAA Group (dessert banana) is the source of this 742-nucleotide long non-coding RNA. RefSeq lists it as uncharacterized. The transcript is spliced from 4 exons. Lineage: Eukaryota; Viridiplantae; Streptophyta; Magnoliopsida; Zingiberales; Musaceae. The record is from RefSeq and is a predicted model, not a curated record.
CACCCCAAGCCAUGAUGUCGCUAAGCGCCACAUUACUCGGUCAUCUCUCUGUUCCAGCGGCGGCCUCCUAAACGCCGAUCCGAUCCGCUCCCUGUGGCGGCCGAGAACGGCCGGUGAUGGUGGCCAACGGCGGGGAGUGUUGAUGACGUCUGCCUGCUGCUCGAUUCCAGGUCAUGCAAGGCAAUCGUAGCUCACACAGGUGCGUAGCAAAAAGGGGCAAAGCAUGGCAUUGCAAUGUAUCCAUAGGUACACCACUGCAUGUUGGGCAAUGAGUGCAUUUACCUUUUGUAUGAUCGCUCCAUUCAUCUCAAGAUUCGCAAAAACAAUUGCCAUCCUGCAUUAGCAAAUGCACACAUUAGCUAAUGCAAUGUACGAUCAACAAAUGCAGGUUGUCAGACACCCUCAUGUUCUCUUCUCCUGUCUCAUGAAGGAGCAGUCCCCUGUGCCAAACAAGUGACCUAUGAAAAUUGGCGGUCUCAGACCAAGUUGGUGUCUCACAAAAAAGAGAGAGCUGCAGAUGGCAGCUGGGGAUGUUGGUGGCCCUUUGUAGAUUUAGCAUUGGCAGGUAACCAACAACUACCAGACUUUAUGAAUUACAACUUGUGCAAUGCCUAAGAUGCUAUAGACCAUAACUAUACAUCAAACACAUUGUUUUUUGUUGAAACAAUGGGAUGUUAUUCCUAGUCCUCCAAGUAUCAGAAUUAAUACUGGACUGACAAGUCAGCAACUGUGUCUUCUUCUA